AUACCGGACUCUACGAGGCUCGGUAAUUGAAAUGAGUACAGUUUAAAACCUUUAACGAGGAUCUAUUGGAGGGCAAGUCUGGUGCCAGCAGCCGCGGUAAUUCCAGCUCCAAUAGCGUAUAUUAAAGUUGUUGCAGUCAAAAAGCUCGUAGUUGGAUCUCGGGCGCCAGUUUGUGGUACGCUUGAUUGCUGUUACUACUUGUCUGGCCCUAAUCAACCGGUUCGCCGUUAAUGUCCUUUAUUGGGUGUUUUCGGUAGCCGGUACGUUUACUUUGAGAAAAUUAGAGUGCUUAAAGCAGGCCUUACGCCUGAAUAAUGUUGCAUGGAAUAAUAGAAUAGGACCUCGGUUUUAUUUUGUUGGUUUUGUAGAGCAUUGAGGUAAUGAUUAAUAGGGACAGACGGGGGCAUUCGUAUUGCGGUGUUAGAGGUGAAAUUCUUGGAUCGCCGCAAGACGAACAACUGCGAAAGCAUUUGCCAAGAAUGUUUACAUUAAUCAAGAACGAAAGUUGGAGGUUCGAAGACGAUUAGAUACCGUCCUAGUUCCAACUGUAAACGAUGCCAACUAACAAUCCGUCGCACUUAAUUAAACGAGUCGGCGGGCGGUUUCCGGGAAACCAAAGUCUUUGGGUUCCGGGGGAAGUAUGGUUGCAAAGCUGAAACUUAAAGGAAUUGACGGAAGGGCACCACCAGGAGUGGAGCCUGCGGCUUAAUUUGACCCAACACGGGAAAACUCACCCGGCCCGGACACUGUAAGGAUUGACAGAUUGAGAGCUCUUUCUUGAUUCGGUGGGUGGUGGUGCAUGGCCGUUCUUAGUUGGUGGAGCGAUUUGUCUGGUUAAUUCCGAUAACGAACGAGACUCUAGCCUGCUAAAUAGUACGCCGAUCUUUAGUCGGCGCGUACUUCUUAGAGGGACAAGUAGCGGUAAGCUACACGAAAUUGAGCAAUAACAGGUCUGUGAUGCCCUUAGAUGUUCGGGGCCGCACGCGCGCUACACUGAAGGGAUAAGCGUGUACUUCCUGCUCCGAAAGGAGUGGGUAACCCGCUGAAACCCCUUCGUGAUUGGGAUCGGGGCUUGAAAUUUUUCUCCGUGAACGAGGAAUUCCCAGUAAGCGCGAGUCAUCAGCUCGCGUUGAUUACGUCCCCGCCCUUUGUACACACCGCCCGUCGCUACUACCGAUUGAAUGGUUUAGUGAGAUCCUCGGAUCGGUCCGGAGGUGGCUUCACGGUCGCCUCUAGGUGCUGAGAAGACGAUCAAACUUGAUCAUUUAGAGGAAGUAAAAGUC
This 1283-nucleotide ribosomal RNA is filed under the name metagenome. Its description in RNAcentral is "SSU rRNA". It matches the Rfam family "Eukaryotic small subunit ribosomal RNA", at positions 483 to 1790 of the family's 1831-position model. The record is from RNAcentral.